GCUGGGAAGGGAAACAGCAGGAACUGAGACUGGAUAAGGAGCCAGAGGUAGAGAUUUGGACUGGCUGGGAUCAUGCUUGGAGCAAAAAAGUGCUAAAGACCAAAGAGUACUUGGAUUUCCUUCACAAAAUAGAGAGUUCGGAGCAGCUACCAAAUUAGGCCCUUCCAACCGAGUUUGCUGAUCCAUCCAUAGACCUGGCUGCCAUAGCCACAUAACUAGCUAAUACAGAUCAUUAAUGAAGAUGUUGAGUCAGACUGGAACUUCUAUAACACUGCAUGCUGUCACUUCCUAUAGACACUUUCUUAUAACUUGACACACUGCUGAUUAGCAUUAAUCUUUGUGUAAAAUACUCCAGCUACUCAAUCCAUGUGAAAGUGAU
Long non-coding RNA from Mauremys reevesii (Reeves's turtle), 379 nucleotides. RefSeq lists it as uncharacterized. The transcript is spliced from 3 exons. The record is from RefSeq and is a predicted model, not a curated record. Lineage: Eukaryota; Metazoa; Chordata; Testudines; Geoemydidae.